Molecule: long non-coding RNA, 2096 nt
Organism: Bombus terrestris (buff-tailed bumblebee)
Lineage: Eukaryota; Metazoa; Arthropoda; Insecta; Hymenoptera; Apidae
Exons: 3
Source: RefSeq, a predicted model, not a curated record
GUUUAGCUCUUUAGAGUGAUAGCAUCUAGCAAUUUUUCGUACUAAUUCUAUUUUACAGUUGCUGUGUUACAGUCGCGGUGAACAAUUAUUAUCGGUGUAUUACUAGCGUAAUUAACGUAAACAGAGGUAAAAUGUUUGUACUGGUAACGUCAAAAUGUUCUUCGACGAUCAUACGUGGAAGGAUUAUAGACUUGGAUGGGAUACUUAAAAUAUAGCACUACGUCUUAUACGAGCAGCAAACGAGUAAUUGAAUCACUCGCAAAUUAGCUGAAAUCCAUAAAUUGAAAAUUCAGUAGAAAUUCAAAACGUCAAUUUAGAAUUCCUUUAGACGAACAACAGAAACUUCCCAAGAAGAAUCCAAAAUUUGCGAUCAAUAGCGUAUAUCUGGCAGAGACAACAACACAUAUUUAAUUCUCUCACCAAAUCUCACUAAGCUGAACUUAGUUUAUCAUUAUGUUGUUCAGAGAGAAAAGUUAGAGAACGAAACACAUGGGUUCGCGUCCGAUUAUCGCAAUUCCAUUCGCCGACGAUCGAAUGGCACGAAUUUUCCCGCAGACAUUGUUGGAAAGCAUGAAAGCACGCGUAAAAGACGAAGACGCCGACGAAUCCGAGAACUUUGCUCCGCGGCAAAUCGACUUGUCACGAAAUCCUAUUGCCGCCUCCUGCAUGUUUCCAGCGUUCUUCUCGUUUUCCACCUUCUCAUCCUCCUCACCUCCCUGUCGUGAAACCCGAUAAAACCUCGUUCGACGGCGUGCUCAAAUUUUCGAGACGCUUAGCUCCAUGAUGCUCGCCCGAAAUCCGAUUUUCCACGACGUAUUCACCUUUGCUUGCGAUGAUUAUUUCUUGCCCCAUGCGUUUCGUUACGCACAUAAAAUUUCCAUUGUAUUCGAUUCAUUCUGGAUAGGUUUGAUAGAAACGUUAAUCCUUUGCAUGUUGACCAUAUUUUUCCUACCCUCUCUCCUACGCUUUUAUAGCGAAACUUUUUAAAAAUGAAGAAUUCGUCUUCGAGGAGGAGAACAUUCUAAGUUCGUGAAUUUAAAUUUGUAAAUUGAAAAACAAUUCUCACGUUAACAAUACGAGUACAAAAUACUAAUGAAAUUAAUAGAAAGGAAUAUAAAGUGCUAAUAGAGAUUAAAAAUAGUAGCAAAAGUUCCUAGUAUACAUGAGAUACAUUGACUUUUUUAUUUCUCAAAGGAAAUUCUACUCUUCGUGUAAGUGGAAGAUAAAGUUGAGCCAUUUACCUCUUACGUGCUCAAUUCGUAAGUGUCACGCUCAUGUAGCACGGAAAAGAUGAUGAAAAUGGAAUUAGAAGAAUGUUACUUUAUCUAUCCUUUGAUUUUUCUAACAAAGAAUUAUUAUUCACUUUUCAUUUUACUCGAUCAACCGAUUAAUUCAUAGAAGAUAUAGCAAAUUCUUACAAGUCUUACAAGAUUCGAAGAAGAAUAAAGAAUCACAAUGUAAAAUUGUUGAUUUACGUUUAGAUAAAACUGCUGUAGAUUCGCGUAAUCUGAGUUCCAUUUACGAUGUUUUGCGUGCAUGGUUCAGUAAAAAGUAGACAGUGUACAGAUCCAAAUGGGUUUUCAUGAAGUAUCGUGAUGAAAAUUCAUAGGGGCGUGGGUGGGUGGAAUCUGCGUUACGUGUCUGAGACACGAUGCAACGCGUGACGCGCGAAACGACGCUGCAAGCAAAAAGGGUUAAAGAAGGAACGUGACUUUUUUCCUUUGUACACGGUGCACAGGUAUCGCGAAAGAAUGCGCUUUAAAAUUCAAAUUCCCGUGAAGCUGUCGUGAGGCCAAGUCGUCAGACAAACUAAAAGGAACUGUUAUGUUACUGUAACAGUUGCAAAUAAUGAAAAAUAAUGUACAAACUGCGUAGAAUUUCUUAUCAGAUGAUUAACGAUAAAAACCAUCCCACUUACGUUAUCGUUCAAACGUUUGGAAUUAUUUCUAGCGUUCGUGAUUUACGAAGAAUAAUAAAAUAAAAGGACCAACAUAUUAAGAUGGAACAAAGAUACGAAGGAAUAAAAGUGAAUUAAAUUGAAAAAUAAAAAAAAUGUAGAUAUUUUGAUACAUUAUCGAUACUUGUACAAAAAGCCA